GAUGAACGCUAGCUACAGGCUUAACACAUGCAAGUCGAGGGGAAACGACAUCGCAAGCUUGCUUUUGAUGGGCGUCGACCGGCGCACGGGUGAGUAACGCGUAUCCAACCUGCCCACCACUUGGGGAUAACCUUGCGAAAGUAAGACUAAUACCCAAUGAUAUCCCACGAAGACAUCUGAAUGGGAUUAAAGAUUUAUCGGUGAUGGAUGGGGAUGCGUCUGAUUAGCUUGUUGGCGGGGUAACGGCCCACCAAGGCAACGAUCAGUAGGGGUUCUGAGAGGAAGGUCCCCCACAUUGGAACUGAGACACGGUCCAAACUCCUACGGGAGGCAGCAGUGAGGAAUAUUGGUCAAUGGGCGAGAGCCUGAACCAGCCAAGUAGCGUGCAGGAAGACGGCCCUAUGGGUUGUAAACUGCUUUUAGAAGGGAAUAAAGUGGGUCACGUGUGACUUUUUGCAUGUACCUUAUGAAUAAGGACCGGCUAAUUCCGUG
RNAcentral lists this ribosomal RNA (492 nucleotides) under uncultured bacterium. RNAcentral's name for it is "partial 16S ribosomal RNA". It matches the Rfam family "Bacterial small subunit ribosomal RNA", at positions 28 to 507 of the family's 1533-position model. The record is from RNAcentral.